This 12739-nucleotide long non-coding RNA is filed under the name Gossypium barbadense (sea-island cotton). RNAcentral describes it as "long non-coding RNA (GBAR_LNC006157)". Lineage: Eukaryota; Viridiplantae; Streptophyta; Magnoliopsida; Malvales; Malvaceae. The record is from RNAcentral.
UGUAUAUAUAUACACACACCUUUCAUUAACAUGAACAUGUGUGGUGUAAAACCAGUCUUUGGACAGUAUUUUGGGAAUUUGGAUUGUCCUAACCUAAUCCAAAUCAAAGAUUACAUAUAUUACUAUUUUGUCACAUUCAUUAUAUGAGUAAAAGAAAUAUAAUACCUCGUCUCAACUCGAUCAUCGGGUUCGAGAGCUACAGGAUGUCAUAUCUGUUGUUAGAGCAACUAUCGUCAAUUGUACAACAAAUAAAUCAUUUAAACAUUCAAACAUACCACUAACACAUUCAUAUCAUGAUAUACAAUCCUUUCCGAGUCUCAAUCAAGCUUAUGAAAGCUUUUUUGUCUAUCUGAGUAUGAAAUAGGACCAAAUUGUAAAGUUUCAAAAAUUCAAGGCCGAUGUCGCGACGUCACCUCCUUUACAUCAUGACGUCACCAAAACAGUUUUUCACAACGUCACAUACUGUCGACCUGCAUUGCGACGAGAAAAUGUGGUCAUUGUGACAAGGACUCUAUUUUUAUACAAAUUAGGCCAUUCGGUACCUCUUUCAUGUCAACCUUUCAAACUUACCAUUUGGUGCAUUUUGCACAACAUUUUCCUACACAAAAACAUACCAAAUACAUGCCAAAGAAUAGCAUUUAACCAAUUCCAACCAUCCAUUUUAAUAUUUCCACAAUUUGGCAUCAAACAUAUCAAUUCAACUUAUACCAAUUCAACCUAAUCAACCAUGUAUGUUAACCAUUAAAUAUCAUCAUUCUAACCAUGUAAUUCAUACUUAAUUUUGCCAUAUAUAGUGCCACAAACAUAGCUCGAAGUGUUACCAAAACAUUUAUACUCAAUAGGCAUUAACCUUAUUAAAACUCAAGCAUUAUAAAGGAUUCAAACUAAAACUAUCAUUUUCAGUUAACAUAUCAAACACUUAUGUACAUGCCACAUAACCAAACUUUAACAUGUUUGAAAUACUACCAAAUUGAUAAUAGGAUAAUGUGAACUUCUUGUAGAUUCGAUCGACACGUUCCGCAAGUUGGCAAUCUACAAGGAAAAGGGAAAACAAUGGGGUAAGCAUUUCGAAUGUUUAGUAAGUUCAUAUGAAAAUUACUCAACUCACCUUGACAUUACAACAAAUUAAGUUGUUAAACACAUUGAUAUAUAACAUGGCAUCCUUAUACUUUCAUAUGUAAUUCAGCAUUACAACCAUUAGUCCAUUAGCAUAAUAAGGACAUAUAACUCAAUUCAUAUACAUAUUCAACAUUUUCAUCAUAUAUCAAAUACUAUCCAUUUUAUAUUCAAUUUGCAUACAUAAGUAAUUCAUUUCAUGUUCAAAUCAUAUACAUCGUUUUCAUUUUCAUCACACUACCAUGUUCUCACCCAAUAGGACUUUAGUAAACAGAAAUCGGAUACACAAAACUAUAUUGCUCACACAAGCUGACAGUGAUCAGGGCUGCUCACACAAGCUUUUAUCGAUGAAUUAGCUCACAAGCCUUUGUUUAUAAAUUGAGAAUCCACAACAAAUGUUAGAUCUCAAAUAAAAAUGUAAAUCCUUGAUCGUUUUCAUAUUUGACCCUAAUGGAAUGUCAUAUGUAUUUUAAUCUUUUACUAAGUUCACCAACAUACAUGUACUGAUAGACCUUGGGUCUACUCAUUCUUAUAUCUGUAGUAAGUUUGUGGUUGGGAAGAGUCUUAGAGUUGUCCCCACUAAGGCUAGCAUGAUAAUUACCAAUCCACUUGGUCAGAGUACUAUGGUAAACAGGGUGGUAAAUGACUGUUCUUUGAGUUUUAGCUAACAUGUAUUUUUGGCGAACUUAAUGCUAUUGAGUUUCCAUGAGUUUGAUGCCAUACUGGGAUUGAAUUGUCUGACAAGACAUAGAGCAGCAGUUGAGUGCAAGUCUAGAUGUGUAUGGUUACUAUCUGUCAAUGGCAAUAAGGUGUUCGUUUCAAGGGUGAAGUGUGAUGUCAAAAACAUUUUAGUCUCAGUCGUUACAGCUUAAAAAAUGAUUGCAAAAGGUAGAGAUGUUUAUUUGGCAUAUAUCUUAGACUCUAAGAUGGUGAAGGAAGACUCCGGGCAAGUACCAGUUGUGAAUGAGUUUCUAGAUUUUUUCUAGAUGAAUUACCGGGGAUACUACCAAAUAAAGAUGCAUAGUUCUCUAUUAAUGUAACGUUGGGGACUGUUCUUAUAUCAAGUGCGUUGUAUAGAAUGGCGCUAGUCAAAUUGAAGGAGUUGAAAGCUUAGCUGUAAGAAUUAUUAGAUAAAGGGUUUAUCGAACCAAGUGUUUCACCUUGAAGUGCGCCAAUAUUGUUUGUUAAGAAGAAAGAUGAGACCUUCCAAUUGUGUAUUGAUUAUAGAUAGUUGAACAAGGUGACCAUUAAGAAUAUGUAUCUGCUGCCUAAGAUUAAAGACUUGUUUGAUCAAUUAAGUGGAGCUAGAGUGUUCUCAAAUAUUGAUCUAUGAUCCGGGUAUUAUCAAAUCUAGAUUAAAGGGGAUGAUAUUCCUAAUACUGCAUUUCAUACUCACUAUGGGCAUUAUGAAUUUCUAGUGAUAUCAGUGUUUAUGGAUUUGAUGAACAGAGUAUUCUAGCCCUACCUCGAUCGUUGUGUGAUCGUAUUCAUUGAUGACAUUCUGGUUUAUUUAAAGAGUGAGGCAGAUCAUAAUGAACAUUUGUGAAUAGUUUUGAAUGUUCUUUGAGAAAACAAAUUGUACGCCAAGUUCAACAAAUGUGACUUUUGGCUAAAGGAAGUUCACUUCUUGGGCCAUGUUAUCUUUGCGAAUAGGAUUAAGGUAGAUCCUGAGAAGAUUCGGGUUGUACUAGAAUGCAAUCCGCUAAAAAAUUUUAUAGAAGUGUGCAAUAUCAUUGGUUUGGCGGGGUACUAUAGAAGGUUCAUGAAGUGGUCUUUCAUGAUUGCGACACCAUUGAUGCGGUUAUUGAGAAAAGAUGAGAAGUUUUACUGGUCUAAAGAGUGUUAACACAGUUUCGAUGAACUAAAUAAGAGAUUGACUGAAGCCUUAAUGUUGAUUCAACCAGAAUCAAGAACAAAAUACAUAAUGUUCAUAUAUGCAUCUUUGAAUGGGUUGGGGUGUGUGCUCAUGCAGAGAGGAAAUGUGGUUACUUAUGUUUCAUGCCAAUUCAAGCCUUAUGAGAAGAAUUACCCAACUCAUGGCUUGGAACUGGCCACCAUGGUGUUGGGAGAAGUGUCGUAUAUUUUCAAACCACAAAAGCUUAAAGUAUCUAUUCACUUAAAAGGAGUUGAACCUACGCCAACGAUUAUAGAUAGAGUUGUUAAAGGAUUAUGACUUGACCAUUGAGUACUAUCUAGGAAAAGAAAAUUUGGUGGCUGAUGUGUUAAGUAGAGAGAUUGUUGCAACUCUGGCUUUCUUGAGAGCAAGAGUAUGUCUGGCGAAUGAUGGGUCACUUCUCGCCAAGUUAAAGGCAAGCAAGACCUAUUUUUUUUUCCUAAAUAUUGGAGUCCUAACUCAAGGAUGCACAGUAUAAUAAGUGAUAAACCGUAAUUCAUACAUAUUUUUAUCCCAUGCUUAGCACAUUUUAUGGAUGAUUUUUCCUUAAAAUUGGUGAAUUCGAUGCUCCUAAUGCCUUAAUUUCAUGUUUUAUACUUAGGUGAGCAUAGGAGAGUGAAAAGAAUGAGAAACGGGCCAAAAUGGAGAAAAUAGGCCAAUGCACAAAAUCAACACGGCCUGGACCUCCUCAUACGGGUAGACCACAUAGCCGUGUCAAUUUGGCAGAAUAGAAGCAUGACUCACACGGGUGGACCACACGCCCGUGCCUAUUUAACAGGCUUGACCACGGCCUUAAGCAAUCGCACACAGGCAUGUUCUUACCGAGCCCAAGUUUAGUCUAAUCCAGAAAAGGCCAAUUUUGAGGGUUUUUAGGCAUUCUAAACCCUAUAAAUACACCCUAGAUGAGGAGGAAAAGGACACACACGGAGGAGGAAGCAGGGAACUGCUCAAGGAAAGCCGAUUGAUCCAUCUCAGAAGUCGGAUUCAUCAUUAAGACUAAAGAUCUCCCCUCAAUUUCCAUUCAGGAGUUUGGGUUUUUCUUUAUGUUUUGUAUUCAUUAUUCUUCUGAGAUGUUUACCUUUUUAGUUAUGAACUAAAACCCCUAAAUACCUAAGGGGAAUGAAACCUAAGACAGAUCUUGUUAUUAUUAUCUGAAUUGUAUGAUAAAUAUUUGACUUAUUCUUAAUUAUGUGUUCUUAAUUCUUGUUUUGAUAUUCCUGGAUAUUGAUUCAAGUUAAGCUCUUAUACAGAGGAGAAAUAGACCUGUCUAAGAGUACAUUUGUCAUAAUUAAGUGGAGUUGGUUGCGCGCCUAGAGAUAGGGUGACAAGAUUUUACCAGAUUAGGGUGAAACCUAAUAAGGGGAUCCAUAGAUCGAGUUAAAGCAACCCUAGGGAGUUAAUUAGAAAGAGAUUUCAAUUAUUCAACCUAGGGUUAGACGUUGUUAGUAUCGAGAGGGAUAAUAAUAUAACUUAGGAUUUCUACGGAUCAAGUCAAAUGAAUAAAUCGUCGGAUUCAGAGUCAAAUAACAAGUGAAUUCUAGGUGGAUUUUUCCUUAGAUAUUGUCUUAAUUCAAUCGUUUUUCCAAAAGUAAUUCCCCAAUUCUAUUUUCUGUGAAUUCUUAGUUUAGUUAAUUAGUUAGUUAAAACAAACCCCAUUAUUCUUAGGCUAGAUAAAAAGAUAGUCAUUACUAGUACUUUUAGUUCCUUUGGGUUCGACAAUUCGGUCUUGCUAAAGCUAUACUACUGUUCGAUAGGUACACUUGCCUUCAUCGUGAUAAUAGUUUGUUCCAAGAAUGAUUCAUUAUAAAUAUUUAAAACCUGUCACGAUUAUCACGCAUCAAGUUUUUGGCGCCGUUACCGGGGAACUAAGAUAUUAGGAACACUCGAUUUUUAUUACUUUAGCCAUUUUACUUUUAUUGCAAUUUAAAAUUUUAUUUUAUUUUCUAAUUCUUCAUUAUUUUCUUCUGAUAGGUUUUUUUUUAUAGUUUAUGACUAAAAGAAACCCGUCAGGACAAUUACUUUUUGAUAGUGAGAUCGAUCGCACAGUUCGUAGAAACCUAAGAGAAAUAAGGCGAAGCUUAAGAUACACAGAGAACGAGCAAGAUGACGAUAUUCAAACCCCAACCAAGGAGAUGGCUGACAACCAAGAAAAUCCGCUACCUCCUACAAUUGCUGUUAAUCAAAAUCCUGCUCCGCGCACUAUAUAUGAUUAUGCUAAACCUAAUUUAACAGGAACUAAGUCAAGUAUAGUUAGACCUACUAUUGCUGUAAACAAUUUUGAACUGAAACCUAACAAAAUUCAAAUGAUACAACAGUUUGUUCAGUUUGAUGGUUUGUAGGACGAGGAUCCCAACAUUCACUUGGCAAAUUUCCUAAAAUUUUGCAAUACAUUUAAAAUCAAUGGCGUUUCUGAUGAUGCCAUACGUCUUUGAUUUUUUCCCUUUUCGUUAAGGAAUAAGACGAAACAAUGGUUGAACUCGUUACCACGAGGGUCAAUCACAACUUGGGAACAAAUGAUCGAAAAUUUUUUAUUAAAAUAUUUUCCACCUGUUAAAAUAGCCAAAUUACGUAAUGAUAUAUCUUCUUUUGUACAGAUGGAUUUAGAAACACUCUACGAUGCAUGUAAGAGAUACAAGGACCUUUUGAGAAGAUGCCUUCAUCAUGCGUUACCACUUUGGCUAAAGGUUCAAACGUUCCAUAAUGGCCUGAAUCCUUCGACUCAGCCGUUGGAGGAACUAUCAAUAAUAAGACAGCUGAGGCUGCUUACGAAUUUAUUGAGAUAUCACUGAAUAACUAUCCGUGGCAAGUCAUGAGGACAAAGCCAACAAAAACAGUCGACAUUUAUAACAUCGAUUCGGUCACCAUGCUCUCUAAUCAGGUAGAACACUUGAAUAAGAAAAUUGAUAGUUUUCUUAGUUCUUCACAGGUUCACCCAGUAAUGCAGUGCGAAAUAAAUGGAGGUGGAUCGAGCAAUUCAAAAUACCCACCUUAUGGCCAAAACAUGGAGAACGAACAGUUAAAUUAUAUGGGUAAUAAUCCUCGAUCUCAAAACAAUCCUUAUAGCAAUACUUACAAUGCAGGUUGGAGGAAUCACCCAAAUUUCUCGUGGGGCGGUCAAGGAAAUCAAAGGCCACAGCAUCCUCCGGGCUUCCAACAACCACCUUACCAGCAAGAAAAUAAGCCAAACCUUAAGGAGAUGCUAACCAAAUUCAUCUCGGUAUCAGAAACUCCUUUUUAGAAUACUGAGACUGCACUCAAAAAUCAACAAGCAUCGAUCCAAGGGCUCGAAACUCAAAUUGGUUAGCUUGCCAAAUUGAUUUCUGAACAACCACAAGGUAGCUUGCCAAGCAAAACAGAAUCUAACCCAAGGGAGCAACUCAACGCGAUUACUAGUCAAGAUGAGGAAGGGUUAGUCACACCUGAACUAGAACCAAGGCAAGAAACUGAGAUAAGCAGAGGUAAAGGUGAGGUAGACCAUAAUGAGCAGAAACCGGUAAGUACAGAAUACAAACCUCGUGUGCCAUACCCUAAUGUGACAAGGAAAGACCAUUCAGAUGAACAAUUCGGUAAAUUCUUUAAACUCUUAAAAAAGUUACAUAUUAACUUACCGCUUAUUGAAGCUCUAUCGCAGAUGCCAAAUGCAAUGAAAUUUUUAAAUGAGCUUGGACGAGGCUUCACAUGUUAAGCUAAACGUAGUUUGCUCAGCUAUUCUACAGAAUAAACUACCCAACGAAUUGAAAGAUCUAGGGAGUUUUACAAUUCCUUUCUUAAUUGGUAGUUUAGAUGUUAAUAAUGCAUUAGCUGAUUUAAGGGCUAGUAUUAACGUCAUGCUUUACAAAAUGUUUAAACAACUAGGUCUUGGGAAACCCAAACAGACUAGGAUGAGCAUUCAAUUAGCAGAUAAAACUAUAAGAUUUCCUAGGGGUAUUAUUGAAGAUGUGCUAGUUAAAAUCGAUAAAUUUAUAUUUCCCGUUGACUUCGUUGUUCUAGACAUAAAGGAGGAUAGCAACACCCUUUUGAUUUUAGGAAGGCCCUUUUUAGCAACUGCUAGAACGAUUAUUGAUGUUGGCACAGGUGAGCUCAAACUUUGUGUGGGAGACGAAACAAUCACCCUUCAAGCUCGCAAUUCCGGCAACACAUCGAAAAUUGAAGGUGAUUGUCUAAAGCAUUCUACUACAAUUAACAAUAUGGUGCAACCUAUUUUGCAGGAAAUGAGUUUAAAGAAAGUACAUGAGUCAAUUUCAAGCAAUAGUAAAGGACUUAUUCGUGAAGAACGAGGGCUACAAAUCGAGGAGCUAGAUGAAUGGCGGACACAUAAACCGAGAAGACAUGAUAAACCAAAACUACGCCAGAAUAAGCUUAAUACCUUUCCAAAUCAACUUGAGGUUGGAGAUAAAGUUUUAUUAGAUGCCGCAGAUCCUCACAUUCUUACUACCAAAUCGAAUGAAGAAAUCCCUCUUAUGGCACUUAGCAUUUUCCAAUUUAGUACAGUCGAGGUAAAUCAUCCCAAGUUCGGCACUUUUAAGGUAAACAAUACCCACCUAAAACCUUAUUUUGAUGAGAUUCACAGCAGAAAUGAGGAGUAUAAACUCCUCGAACCACCAUGACCAUUCAAUGUAAAGGUAAGUCGAGCUUAGACUAUAAAUAAGCGAUUUUUGGGAGGCAACCCGAGCACUAACAAUAUUACUUUCUUUAAAUUUUAGUUUUUAAAAUCUAACAUACUAACCAAAUCAUUGAAAAUAGGCUUUUCAGAACUACACGAUCAGGCACACGGGCAUGCCGUAGGCCGUGCACAUACUACGGGAUGAACCACAACCGUGCGAUACGGUCGUGUGAAAAUAGGGCAAAAAUUUCUUCCCCAACACGGGAUGCGAUAAGUAGUCGCGGCCGUGCGACAUGGCCGUGGGUGUUUUGAAACCGUGGGUAAAAUUGUCAAUUUAAGACGGGCGUCCGCCUGUAUACACAGGCGUAGGAGAAGCUAACGGAAAUCGACACGGCUCUGCAACAUGGUCGUGUACACCAAUGCGCCUAAUUUCAAAAAUUACAAAACGCACGGGCUAAGCUUAAAGCACACGGGUAUGCCCCAUGCUGUGUGCCCCAAUUUUUCUAUAAAGACUUAUUUUAUUUUAUUUUUAUUCCUAUAUUUUGAAAUUAUUUUUUAUUUCCUUUUAAUACUAUUUUUUUCUUGAUUUUUUUUACAAUUUUUAAUUUCGGCUAAUUCAUAUUGAGUACUUACUAUUCCUUAUAUAUUUCCUAAAAGAGUUCUUGAUUCUAUCACAAUUAUAAAGAGCUCCAAAGCUCACUAUUACUCAGGGAUUCGAAACUUCACUGGAGAAGGUUCUCCACGACUGCCAUGUCCUGCUCAACCACGACCAUAAUCGACUUCAGAUAUAAUAUUCUUUUGGCGUAGGACUUAUGGAAUAAUGAACCUCUACCACCGCCAGAGUAUCCUCCUCCACCCUCACGCAGAUUAUUCUCCAAAUCUCCAGUUCAAGGGAAUUCAUUCAUCACUCAGGAAGUUUCACUUCUUUCCCUUUAUUAUAUUUAUAUUCUCUAUCUUUGUACAUGGAGGGCAAUGUACAUCUUAAGUGUGGGGGGUAUUCAUUUCACUAUCAGAAAAAUCCCUGAAUGAUUGUCUUGUUCUCUUGAAAAGCUCUCAUAUCAUGUUUAGGAUAAAUUUUGAUUGAUUUAUGACUUUUAUUGAUAUAUCUUGAAUUAAAACAUAGGCAUUUAUGCAUUGAGGGUUUAAACUUUAAGACAUUAGGGAAUCAAGCAUGAUAAGUUGAUUUUUGAAGAAUUAAAAACUUUUAGGUUGUUUCCCCAAGUUUAGGUAUUAUCUUGAGUUGAAACUCACCAGUUUAAACAUCAAAAAGCCAUAAUUUUUGUGAGAUCUUGAGCCAUUAGAGCAUCUAUUAUUUCUUUCAUGCUCAUUUUCAUUAUGAGUGCGUCAGUAUUGAAUUGCUAUUCUAGAACUUGCUUGAUUAUGCAUGUGAAGACCACACCAUUUGAUUUGAUAUGUCAAAAUGAUAAAGGCACUUAGGUUUAACCCACUCACUUCAUAAAAGCCUACCUUUACAAUUAACCCUUAGUGAACCCCCUUGAGCCUAACAACCCAUUCAUUGAUUUACCCUCGAUAUUAACCCAUAACUCAUUAUUGUUGAAAUCCCCUAUAUUAAUGUGAUCCCUAUUUUUGUUGAGAUUUGAGUUGGAAUAAUUGCUUAGCUAUGUUUUAUUCUUUUUUGUAAUUUGGCUUGUUCUUAAAAAAAACAAAUGUAUACAUAUUAGUAGUAGUGAUCUUUUGAGCUAGAGAAGUUAAAUUCCAUAUUCUGAGAAAAGGCUCUGUUGUACGUAAUUGAUGACUAGUCAUUUUUCUAGUUAGGCAAUUUUUCAAUUCAAUCUCGAUUCUAACCCUUUCUUUCAGCUUUUGACCACACCUUUUAACCAAAGCCACGUUACAUCCCUCUAAAGACUUUUUGAUUGACGUUUCAUCUCAAAUUAUAGUGGUUGAGAUUUGAUUUUCAUACAAGCCUAAUGACUCUUCAUUAUUGACUAUUGAGUGCUUCAUUUAUUGUCCUUAAACACCUGAAGUGAUUUGAGUGAAUCUUUAGUGAGGAUGUGAAACUCUGUGAUAUUUUGAAUCAAAGGUAAUUACUUAAAUGAGGGGAGACACCUAUGUUUUUAUGAUAAAAUGCUCAACUUGGAAUGUUUGAAACUUUAAUGUUCUUUCAGUUGAAUUUUCAAUGUAUGAUUACCUAUGGAUUAUUUUGAGAUAUUAUCCAUAGAAAUUAUAAGUUGAGAAGAAUUUAUUUUGAUUAUGAGUUGAGGGCUUUGCUGGAGGACAAGCAAAUGCUUAAGUGUAAGGGUAUUUGAUAAACCGUAAUUCAUACAUAUUUUUAUCUCAUGCUUAGCAUAUUUUAUGGAUUAUUUUUUCUUAAAAUUUGUGAAUUCGAUGCUCCUAAUGCCUUAAUUUCAUGUUUUAUACUUAGGUGAGUACAAGAGAGUGAAAAGAACGGGAAACAGGCCAAAAACGGAGAAAAUGGGCCAACGUAUGAAAUCAACACGGCCUGGACCUCCUCACACGAGCAGACCACACGGCCAUGUCAAUUUGGCAGAAUCGAAGCACGACUCACACGGGUGGACCACACGCCCGUGCCUAUUUAACAGGCUUGACCAUGACCUUAAGCAAUCGCACACGGGCGUGUUCCUGCCGAGCCCAAGUUUAAUCCAAUUCAGAAAAGGCCAAUUUUAAAGGUUCUUAGGCAUUCUAAAGCCUAUAAAUACACCCUAGAUGAGGAGGAAAAGGAUACACACGGAGGAGGAAGCAGGGAACUGUUCAAGGAAAGCCGAUUGAUCCAUCUCAAAAGUCGAAUUCAUCAUCAAGACUGAAGAUCUCCCCUCAAUUUCCAUUCAGGACUUUGGAUGAACUGGGAUAAGUACCUGGCUUUGGCGGAGUUUGCAUACAAUAACAAUUAUCACACCAGUUUAGGCAUGUCACCUUUUGAGGCAUUUUGUGAGAGGAAGUGUUGAUCACCAGUUUGCUAAUUAAAGCUUAGUGAGAAGAAGUUGGUUAGUCCAAACUUAGUCUGUAAAGUAAAAGAGAAGGUGUUGGUCAUCAAGACCAGUGCCAAAUGGAAAGAACCCGUAAACUAGAAAAAGCUCUAAGUGAAGAUUUCUGGUGAGUUCCUUCGUAUCUUGAGUCUAUUAUUUAUGUUAUUUUGUUAAACCUUCCUCACUGUACAACCAGGUAAGUGGCUUUAACAUUUGGUUCUAAUUCUCGUGUUUAAGGAGUCAAUACAUGUAAAGGUAAAGAUAAUGAAACAAAAUAGAAGUCAUGCAUGUUCAUGGUAUAAAUACUCAUUCUUUGGUGCAUAAUUUUCGUAUCCAAAAUGGUGUAAAGAGGUAUCGAAGGGUUGUUACGUAUAUGAAAAAGAAAGAUAUUAUAUUUUGCCUCCGGUAUGUCAUUCUCGUGUAAACUGUGGCUGGUGAAAACUUGGUCUUGCAGGGGAACACUUAUGUGUUCAAAAUAAAAUGAGGGAUGAAGGGGGUAUGGAGGUUAUGACUAGUAAAUAGCUUGAUGAGUGGUAUGAAGAUAUACGAAAAAUGGUUCUUUAGAACUAGAAUUAGAAGCUAACAUAAGAAAGGGAGUAUAUGGGAAAAAAAUGGUGCAUUUGUGUAAAACAAAGAGUUUACGUUGCAUAAAGUGUAAACAAUAUGUUUAACUGUUAUAAAAGGGUAAUCUGUGAAAGUGGCAUACACGCAGAGUAGUUUUGCUCAAUAGAUAGUGUUCGCUAAUAGGUUGCGUCUAAUUGCAGGAGUAUUUUUCAGUGGAUACUUAGGAUGGAGAGAGAAUUGUAUCUGCCAGAUAUGGUGUACUAUUUUGUCAGUUUAAGUCUUGAUCUCUUAAUGUCUGAUGGUCCUUAUUGUGGAAUUAUACUUCCUAGGAACUCACUAAGUUCUUAUGAACUUACCUAUUUGUUUUCUUCUAAUUUUUAGGUUCUUAGGUUGGACAUUAUAGUAGUAGGGAAUUAGCCAAAUUAGCGGCCUAUUGUGAGCCUUCUCUUAUCUUGGUAUAACAUGAAAUUAUUAGGGUGUUAAGACUUCUAUUAGCUGCCACCAGUUGAAAAUCAUUAGCCUGUAUUUUAGAAAAUGGUAUUUUGUAACUAUGAAUGCUUAUUUGUAACCUUGUCAGCUUAUUGACAAAGUUGGUUCUAUGUGACACUGGAACGAAAAAAUUGUGCAAGUGUACACAAUCGUGACAAGUAACAAAGUGAUAAAUAUUAAGUAUCGUCUCCACAGGGACUGUUAAGCACUUCUUUGUGAAAAAAAAUUAGAACUUAAACAAAUUGGUGAUGGAAAAAUAAUAUAGGUUGAAAGUGUAGUGCAAUUAAAUAAAAUUGAGUUAACUAACUAAUUUAAUAAGCUAAAAAUUAUCUUAGUAUGAAAUUUAAAUGAACACAGGAAAUUAUGCAAGUAUUAAGAGUUUAUAACAAUGGCAUGCUUGUGUUAAAACAAUCAUCCUUCCUAGUAUAGAAUUAUUCAUACUGUUAAAAGAUGCUACGGAGAUUUCGUGGCUAAAUUGAUUAUUUAUUAACCCUAAUCAAAUUUAGUAAAAUAUUUAACUUAAUCAAUUAUUAAACUUGUCUCACAUAUUUCUAUAUUUAAUAGAAUUAAAAUUUCAUAAGCAAAACAUGUUACAAGGUUAUGUAAGGUAAUAGUAGUUUUAUUAUUAUUACAAAUUUAAUAUAUACAUGAUUAAACAUUAUACCAUACAAGUAUUUUUUCAAUUAAUUAAAAUCUUAUUCAGAUUAAUUAAUUAAUUCAUACAUUUCUUCACAUUAAACAUGCAUAAGAAAUUUACUCGUGAUUUUACUUGAAUGAAUAAUGCAAACUAUGGAAAUCAGAUCAUUCUAACAACAACGAAUUUAAGCAAUCAUGAUUAUAUUGAAAAGCAAAUACUUAUUUGAAAACUUGUUUAUGAAUUGAACAAAAACAAAGAUAAAAAGGGCAGAAGAAACUCUAACCAAUUCUGGACGUUCCCGAGGCAUAAACUACUUGCUCCUUCAUUGGUUCUUUUGUCUUGCCGUCACAACUAAGCCAAAGUACCCUCAAUAUAGCUGAAAUAUGGCUGCUCUCACGACUAUGCAAAGCUCUUUUUCAAUAGGAAGAAAUAAUGAAUGAAAAAGGAAGAAAAGAGAACGCAAGUGGAGAGGAAAUGAAAAGAGAAUGAAU